This 702-nucleotide ribosomal RNA is filed under the name uncultured bacterium. RNAcentral describes it as "bacterial SSU rRNA". It matches the Rfam family "Bacterial small subunit ribosomal RNA", at positions 28 to 721 of the family's 1533-position model. The record is from RNAcentral.
AUUGAACGCUGGCGGCCUGUUUUACACAUGCAAGUCGAACGGCAGCACAGGGAGCUUGCUCCCGGGUGGCGAGUGGCGAACGGGUGAGUAAUACAUCGGAACGUGUCCUUUUGUGGGGGAUAACUACUCGAAAGAGUAGCUAAUACCGCAUAAUACCUGAGGGUGAAAGCGGGGGACUUUAGGGCCUCGCGCAGUUGGAGCGGCCGAUGACUGAUUAGCUAGUUGGUGGGGUAAAGGCCUACCAAGGCGACGAUCAGUAGCUGGUCUGAGAGGACGACCAGCCACAUUGGGACUGAGACACGGCCCAAACUCCUACGGGAGGCAGCAGUGGGGAAUUUUGGACAAUGGGGGCAACCCUGAUCCAGCCAUGCCGCGUGCAGGAUGAAGGCCUUCGGGUUGUAAACUGCUUUUGUUAGGAACGAAACGGUGGAUGUUAAUACCAUCUACUAAUGACGGUACCUAAAGAAUAAGCACCGGCUAACUACGUGCCAGCAGCCGCGGUAAUACGUAGGGUGCAAGCGUUAAUCGGAAUUACUGGGCGUAAAGCGUGCGCAGGCGGCUUGGUAAGACAGGUGUGAAAUCCCCGAGCUCAACUUGGGAAUAGCACUUGUGACUGUCAGGCUAGAGUAUGUCAGAGGGAGGUGGAAUUCCAAGUGUAGCAGUGAAAUGCGUAGAUAUUUGGAAGAACACCGAUGGCGAAGG